RNAcentral lists this ribosomal RNA (469 nucleotides) under uncultured bacterium. RNAcentral describes it as "partial 16S ribosomal RNA". It matches the Rfam family "Bacterial small subunit ribosomal RNA", at positions 28 to 507 of the family's 1533-position model. The record is from RNAcentral.
GACGAACGCUGGCGGCGUGCUUAACACAUGCAAGUCGAACGGAAAGGCCCUGCUUGCAGGGUGCUCGAGUGGCGAACGGGUGAGUAACACGUGGGUGAUCUGCCCCUUACUUUGGGAUAAGCCUGGGAAACUGGGCCUAAUACUGGAUAGGACCAUGCUGUAGGUGGUGUGGUGGAAAGAUUAGUUUCGGUAAGGGAUGAGCGCGCGGCCGAUCAGCUUGUUGGUGGGGUAAUGGCCUACCAAGGCGUCGACGGGUAGCCGGCCUGAGAGGGUGGACGGCCACAUUGGGACUGAGAUACGGCCCAGACUCCUACGGGAGGCAGCAGUGGGGAAUAGUGCACAAUGGGCGCAAGCCUGAUGCAGCGACGCCGCGUGGGGGAUGAAGGCCUUCGGGUUGUAAACUCCUUUCAGCCAUGACGAAGCCCUUGUGGUGACGGUAGUGGUAGAAGAAGCACCGGCUAACUACGUG